GUGUAACAAGGUUUCCGUAGGUGAACCUGCGGAAGGAUCAUUG
Molecule: ribosomal RNA, 43 nt
Filed under: Hoya thomsonii
Lineage: Eukaryota; Viridiplantae; Streptophyta; Magnoliopsida; Gentianales; Apocynaceae
Description: partial 18S ribosomal RNA
Source: RNAcentral